GGGUGGUGAGCAAUUGCAUUGUGCAUCACGUAUUCCCUACACAUUAGUAGUAGCAGUACUAUUCUCACUGUUAUUAUUAUUUUUUUCCUGUCUUAAUAAACUGUCUGUCUCGACCCACAAGCUUCGUUUUCCUGUUUCUCUCAUCCAUUCCAGAGAGGGAGAGGGGAGAGGGAGCGAACGGCUGUGUGGUGCUUAGCUGCUGGCCGGGGAAACCCACAGCAACAGCAACGUAGUCAUGUAACCAAAUUAAAGCCAAACCUUUCAGCCCGGUCCUUGACCUGAAUAGGGAGUGAGGAUCCGGAUCCUGGCACUUAUACGUGAUAGUUUACAUGCAGCCAAAGUAAAUACUGUAGUUAGAGGUCAUGGCACAAGAUUUUGAGAAGCUCUGCAUAAAGAAGAGAUCUCAGAGAAGCAAAUUUAAAUAACAAUAAUGUCAAGAAGAGUCGUUCUGAUGGCUAUAUUCUUGAUCUGUCGUGACUAGACAGAUGAAAAUCUAUGACGGCAAUUUUGCCUUUUAGUUCAUUUUCUUUUUUCUUUUAUGUCUUUCUUUUAUUUAGGUUUGUUAAUCUUAUUUUAACAGCCUCUGUACUAAUUUUCCUCACAGAAUGACUAGCAGAAAUAUGACCCUUAAGUGCCUUUUGUAAUUAAUUCAUUAGGGCAACUCUAACCACUGAGCCCCUUGUCAGGUGAUUUCUAUUAGCGAUAAGGAGCAAUUGAACCUAAAACACUGAAGCCAGGUUGAUGAGCCUAUUCCACAAGGUCUCUUGGCUCCACCCUUGUUAAGUGAAAUCUGCCAGGUGGGGAUCAUUUGACCUUUGCUAUAAAGGAAGCAUGGUAUGCUUCCUAAAGGAAGUAUGAUAUGAUAUGAGAUAUGGGAAGAAUUGCCACUGCAGAGGAGGUUGAGGUUCAGGUUGUUUAGGGUGCUGUUCUACUGUCCUGGUGAAAUGGACUCAGUGUUCUGGAGUAGGCUGCUUUUUCUUCGUGUUUUCUAUCAUCUCUGUGAAUGAGCUUUGGAGACUCUAUGAGCUAGUUACGUUGGUGGUGACAUCUCAGAACAGGAAAACCCUGGUGGUGCUACUUCCCCGUGAAGUGGUUUGGCAGUAACUCAAGUUCAGGAUCUGGCAGCAGGUAUUUUCAAAGGACUAUGUCUGUACUUCACAGGAGGUGCAAGAUACAGCACUAGUCCACAGCUACCUGAAAGCUUAAGCACUGAAUGGACAUGUGACCACACAACUUCAUCUGUACACUUUGAAAGCACAUCUCUCAGAAGCAUCUGGUCCUUGAAAUGCCAGAGAAAGGGGAUGCAGAACAAAUAACAAGGACACCCUUCUUAAGAAAAAAAAAAAAGACAGUCACCAUUAGACUGAUGGGAAAUUAAGGCAUACAAAGACCUCAGAAGUUUGCACGGAUUCAUACAGGAAAUCUGCACCUGAGUAUUACACUGAAAGUGCAUCGCUACUACCACCUUGAUCUCCCUGUUCUGGGCAUGAUUUUGGUCAAGCCAGGCCUAUCCGAAGCAGCACCAUGGGAGUACUCAAGUCCUGCUGCCCUCCCCUUGGGAUCCUUGAGAGGCUCUGUCUCAGGCGAUGACCCAUGCUGGGGUUGAUCUUCUGGUUCCAAUGCCACCUCCCCAGAUGGAUGAGCAGAAGUGAGCAGUAAUGUUUUCAGAUGACUCACCUCCCAUGGAGAAAUGAUGUAUUGAGGAACUUCAAGCCAGGUUGUUUGUCAAUAUACUGCAAGCUACUUACAGGUUAUAUUGCUGACAGAAAACAUCACCACCUAUGUGACCAGAGUCAGUAAGCACAAUGAAGAUAUGAGCAUCAAGGAGAAUUGAUGUAUAGGUCUUCCUAGCAGAUGAAGUUCACUUCAAGAGCAUGCUGGUUCUCCAGUGCAGCAGCUGCACUGCACCAGCACAAGUCAGCAUGCUUUACUGUCAGAUCCUCACAGCCUUCUGAAGCCUCUAGGUGCACAAGAGGUUGCUCUGCCCUGCAAAAUGCCAGAUUGGAGCUUCUGUUUGCCUUGGAACUUGUGUGUGCAUCUGUUUGAAACAUCUUGUCUUAUUUUUGAUGCCUGGCUUGCUCUGUAGAAGAACUAUGUGGCAAGAUGCCUCUCACUUGGUGACUGGCAAGCCAAACUUGGGAAGAAGCUCUUAGAAAUGGAGACCCUAGCAAACAGAUCCAUACCUGCAACUAUAAUGUCAACAUGUGACCAUGACUGUGAAAAAAGCUGCAUAGAUUUCUGCUCCUGGAAGCCUCAUCACCAAGCAACUGACAGAGACUAGGGAGAGGAGAGAAAAGGAAAGGAUUUAAGAAAAACAAACCUCAAGGAUUUAGGUGCUUUUCCAGAUGCAAGCCAGAGGUCUUAUCGUUCCAACCUCAGUAGGAGGUAAAAUCUUGAUGAUUGUUUUAGGUUUUAUAUUGCUCCCUGUUCUGGAAACACACGGCUUUUUAUUGAAGAUGGGUGGUAUUAAAAAGGGUUUUCUGAAAGGGCUAGCAGUGACUGCUGAUGUUAACUGAACCUCUUCUCUUUAAGACGAUGAGGUGAUGGACGGGUUGGGUUGGUGGUGGCAGCUUGACAUUAAAAAUCAGUUGUGUGCCUGUGCAAUCCCUUUAAUACAGCAUGGUGUGGCACAGACAAGACAUAGAUAUCUGCUUUCUGUCUGUGCUAGGGAGGCAGUAAAUAUCAGCAAGGGGCCAGGCAACAUGCUGGACACUGAAAUCUCUGCCGCCAUGUCUGCCUGGCCCUGCAUAUUGCAGCUGCUGGUUUGGGAGUGAUGCUUUCAAGAGCUGUUCCUGUCCUCUCCUGUGCAUGCGCUCUCCACGGUCUCCACCAAGCAAAGAUGGAGAAGAACAGGUUUUCCUGUGAGAUAGCAGAGUAAUGUGAUACGUUCCUCUAAGUCCGUUCAACCCUCCACUGAGGGAAUAUUUCUUUCUCAGAGCUGCCAUCGGAAAGCCGGAGUUUUUUAUUCAGUUUACAGGUAGUAGGCCCAUAGUCUCAAUUAUCCAGUGUUUUGGUGGAGUUGUGCCAAAGUUGUGCAUCUCCGUUUACAUGGGAUUGACCAGCUUUCAUAUCUCUAUUACUCUGUGAUUCUGACUCUUGUUUUGCUCUGAAAAUUGUGUUCAUUUUAGGCCAGCAUGCACAAGAAAGAUGACAGCUGCACCAGUGUCUGUCACUAAAGUCUGAGAAGUUGAAUAGUUUGUUGAUGUCAGCAGGGUUAUUUUCUAUUUCUCAACUAUGUGAGUGAAAAGUCAGAUCAUUUAUGCAUCUCACUCCUACAUAACUAAUCGUAGAAUCAUUAAUAGAUGGACAAGGGUUUUUUCAGCUGACAUCUAGUAUGCUAAAUAAGUAAUGAUGAAGAGAUUACUUUCUUCAGUUUGCUUUCUUCAUGUAAUGUAUAAUAAGUAGGUGAACUAGUGAAAUAUAAUGUGUGACAGAUAACAAAUAAGUUACAAACUUUGUAAUCUUGAGUGGAUGUCCUGAUGCGGGGGAGUAUGCAUGUGCUCUUAUACAGAAUUUGUCAUGUCUGAUUGCACCUUGACAUUUAAAUUGUACUUUGAACUGAUUUCCACAGAUGGAAAAUCAGAUUUCCUAGGAUUGUAGUAAUUUUUAUGGCCCCCAAAUUCUUGUAUUAGGGAUGCAACCAUGCAUUGGGUUUCUUAGUGAGUUUCAAAAGUAAAUUUAACAUGUUUACCUUUUUCAAGGAAUAAGACUUUACUAGGAAUUCUAAUAUUAAUAGUUAACUCCUAAAUAGCCCAGCACUGCUUUGCUUUUUUGCAUUGCGCAAACCAGCCUCUCAGUCAUUGUGACUGUAAUAUCGAGGCAGCAACAGAAGCAAGUCUUUGCUUCAUUGCAGCGUAAUUUAAGUGCAACAUCCAGGUGUGAUAUUUGAGGUGGUGGCUCAUAGUAACAUCGUUCCCAGAAGAGAACAAUCUAGUUGCUUUCAGAAAAGCUUACAUGACAAAUAGCCUUACUCAAGUACAGAAUGGUAUCUCAUAGUCCCUUAGUCCUUGUCUUUUAGGUACACCACAAGCAAUGGUGGAAAAAGGUAAGGAUUUCUUUUUAUUUUAUUUUGGUGUAGUCCAUGAGCCUGUGAUGUUCUGUGGUAUGGAUCCGUAGUCAUAGGUUAGCCAAGCCCUUUUUAUUUGUUGGUUUUUAAAUGUCACCUUCUCAAAGCACUAACAGAUUGAUUCUAAUGAAUCUGCUAGAGCUUCUCUUACAUUUUCUUGUUCUCCUGAUUUUUUCUUUGAUAUGAUCUCCAACAACUCCUUCCACUGACUCUUUAUAAGGAUAUAUAAAAUAAUAAAAACAAUAGUAUAUCAUUAAAAAAAUUAUAUAUGUGUAGUGUCUUUUUAAUUAACCUGCAAAAUAAUGUAAUAAUAGCUUGUAGACACAGGAUGUGAUUUUUACAUGAGUUUAUGAAUUCCAAAGGAAUCACUCUAAUCUUUUUCUUUUUCAAGUUCAUCAGUUUAAAAAUAAAUAUUUGUCUGAUAAUAAAACACAGUGCUAAGGAUUUCAAAGUUUCCAAUUUGUCUGUAUUUGCCAGCCAUUAUUAAAACAAGCUUCCUGUACUCAUAAGAUUUAAUUUAAUACAGCCAUUGCUUCUGGUGUUCACUUUCUGUGAAACAUAUAGGAAGGAUACAAAAUAAUGACUCAGCAAAAAGUAAUACUCGAAGCAAAAGAUGCACUUAGAUCAUCUAACAAAUUUAAAUGGGGAUAUGUCUCCCACUGGUAGCUCUAGUGCUUUGAAUUCCGGAAAUAUUAUGAAGGCUGGCACAAACCUCUGUUUCAUCACAACCAUGUCACAAUGUGUUAUGAGAUAUCUGUGUUAUUAUUCAUGUGGUAAAUUGGAACUGUCUUAUAUAUGAUAAUAUACUGUCCAUCAAAACAAAAUCUAUGGAAUUAUUAUCUUAUUUUCUGUUUUUAUCUUAUUUAUAAAUGUUAACUUCUUUUAAAGGACCAAAAAUAUAGUAAAAGUUUGUGAGGACUAUAACCUUUGAAUUUACUUAUUGUUACUGAAGUUACACAUAAUAAUUUUUAUUAUUGAUUAGCUAUAAAAAAUAUUAAGAAGAAAAAUAAGUACCAAUAUUUUGAAACAAAUAUAUGGAGCUUACAAGCAGUCUGACUACUUUUACACUGCCACUAGACAUCUGAAUUUAUUGUGAAUAUCUUAAUUGUUUUCUUUAUUCUUGCUCCCGUUUGGUCAGGAAAGAAGGGGAACUCAUAGCCUAACAAAACUGGUCCUACUGACAAGGUACUUGAGGGAAGUCAUCCUUCACACCACCCAGGGAUGUCUUUGGCAUUGGGACAGGGUCGUAUUCUCAGUUUGUGGCACAUGAAAUUGUGCUCCACAUCCUGGGGACCUUGUUCUCAGCUAGUGUUGGCUUAGGAUAUUUGAGAUAGGCCUUGGCUUUUUUGCUAAGUCUAACCAAGAAGGAGCCUGAAUUAAUUGUUCCUCGUUCUUGGUGUCCUAGGUGAGUUUCAAUUUCAUUAAUGUCAACUGUCAUUUAGGUUGUCCCAGGGCUUAUAAAACAAUUGCAACACAUUGGCUGACAUGAUGCAGAACCUAGAGAAUACUCUUGUUUUUCUGAAUCAGCAGCUGGAGGUGCCGUAAGGUAUGUUAUCUCUAUGUUAUGCUUAAACUAUAGCCUACCUCUCAGUCUAAAGGCAAACUGUUGGAUGGUGCUUUGCAGGAUGACAGUGCUAUCACUUUUUUACUCUAAUAUGAAACUACCCAGAGACAGCAAAUUGUUAUCAGAAUCUUCUAGUGUUUUUGGAAAACAGAGAAGUUUAGACACAAGCCAAGGUGAGUAACCUUCAUAUUGAUUCUUUAUUUAUGAGUCCACUGUCACAUGCUGAUCCACUUUGUUGUUUAAUUGAACCAGGAUCUCAUCAUGCCUCAUAUUUUAUUUAACUUGGUAUGCUUUAUUUACUGUGUUUUCUUAGCCUUCCAACUUCAGAAAUGUUUAAAAAGCAGAUGUGGUUGAAUUGUUUUAACAGCAGUCAUCUAAAGAUGAGGUAAAACCAGAUGUGCAUAUUGAGAUAUCAUCUAUUAUUUAAUCAGGUAGUGUAAUUGGAAAUGGUAGACAAAUUUUAUGACACACUAGACUUCCUCAGAUCUGAAACAGAAUUAGCAGACUUCAGAGUGAAACGCAAAAUGAAAGCAGUUGUUCAGAUAUAUACCAACUACCUCUGAAAGAAAAGGUAGCUGGUAUGUGUAGAAUAGAGAAAAGUGAUAAGGCAGUUAUCUCUCUAAGGAAAGAAAAAAUAAUAAUGUAUUGCCUGUCAAACAUGGAGAUGUUAGUGGAGGGGAAAGAAAAUUAUAUUGUGCCAUGGAAUCAAUAUCUCUAUUGAAUCCCUGUUUUUUAGUGACCAGCAGAGUUUAAAAUGUUAGCUCUAAUCUCAUCUUCAGAAGGCAUUUUGAAGAUCCUCUUUAGAGAUCAAGACUGAAAGAUCAGAAGUGGCAUGUUUGUGUAAAGUAUGCUUUGUAUAAAAUGUUUUGUUUUGUUUUUGUAUUUGUUUCAAGAGUUUAUCACAGAGAUGAAUUGCAAAAAACAUGAUUAAGCAGUUCUAGUCCUCCAAGGGUUCCAUGCUGAGUUCCAUGGGAUGAACUUCUGAGUUUGGAAAGGAUCUUUUAGGUCAGAUUUAUGUUCACAGUAGUUUGAGCUACAGGAGAUAAUGUAAAGUAUCUUGUUAAACAGAAUUUACACCUGUUACAUUCAUUGAUAUUUCAUCUGUGAGAUAGCUGUACCUCAGUGCUAAUACUAAUGUGUGGAAAUGCUGAAGUUUAUGCUUAGCUUUUACUGGCCCUUCUCUGAAAUUCCCAUGUGUUCUGAAAACCUGAAGCAAUCUACCACAAUGUGGCAGUAUAUCAUGAGUGGGCUGGAGAGUCCCCAAACACAAAACGCUGCCCCAGACAAAACAUCCUGGAGUGCUCUCCCUGCUCUCAAACUAAUUUUUUGAUAAGAAUAACUCCUUAACCUCCUGAAAUCAUCUCACAGAUGCAGCUAUAGGCGACAAACCUGGUUGGUUGUUCUGCUAGGUUUCCUGGUCACUCUGUGUCUCUUGCCUCACAGCAAUCUUGGCUCCCUGAGCCUGGAGAAAUUUUGAAUAAGUGGGACCUUCUUGCUGCUCAGGUGCACCCUGAUCUUCUCCCUUCUAGAAGGAAUCUUCUCCCUUCUAGAAGCCCCAUUGCUAUGGUGUUAGCAGCCUGUUACCAGCCCACCUUUUCUGGCCCCAUACAUACAAUGAACAGUGGAAGAAACAGAUAUACAGCACUUUAUUCCUGUGACAUCAGGUGAAUGACCUCAAGCUUGUAAUAGGGUGGUUGGGUGCUGGUUAGUGAAAGGAAAAAAAAAGUUAGCUUUUCCCCACCACCACUCAUUUGGGAGUGAGCUGUCAGAAAAGUGUGAUGACAAUUCUAUUAUUUCUUAUUUUUCUUUUCCAUAGACAUGUUCUUGGCCUUUAUUCAAGAAGGUGUGCUCACCUUAAGCUAGUAUCGUCCCUUGGACAGCAUACAAUAGUGGGUGUUUCAGAGAGUUGUGUAGAACACUGAGGGUUGAUUCUGCAGUGUGGUCCAGCUGCUGCCGUGCAGGACAGAUGUUAUACCACAACAACAGACAAGAAACAGUGGCAGGGUAUUUCCACAAGCAAUGGUGAAAUGAGGCUGCUGAAGUAAUUAAAAGGUUGUUUUAGUACUCUGGUAACCACUAGAGAGUCUAUUGCCAUAUUCACAUUAAAUAAAGCACAAUUAGGCCUGACAUAUUGUCCUUCCUUUAGAGCUCCUACCUGAGCUGAUGACAGGGAACAAAUUAAUCCCAGUUGGAGACAGUUUAAUUAAACUAUCUCAAAUGUGUUGUAUUGCUUUGGAUGUUUUGAUUUUGUUAUUAUUUGUAUUUAUCACAAAUGAAUAUUAUUCUUGAUCUGCCUUUUGCCAGAAAUAACAUUAUUUAGUCAAAGUUUAUAGUCCUAAAUUAAAGACUGUGAUAUUUUAAUUUAAUUUAACUCUAUUACUGUGUAUAGACAAUCCUAACUGAGGCCGUUACAAAUACGUUCACACUAGACUUGCAAACAUUUUCAAUUAGGCUUUUACAGUUCUGUUGCUUGGGAAACAGCUUAUGAUAAGAAUGCCACACAUGGCGCAUUUCUUGUUCUUUGAGGUUGUAUUUUUUGUGAUCAUACCUCAUUAUUAUUCCAUUACUACAUUACCAGUACUAUUACCCAUUUUUUAGUAAGUUAGGUUGAAAUUACAAAAUUAUUUUUGAAAUAUUUUCUACAAUUUUGAAACUAUGGAGACCUUAGUAAUGAGCUAAUCACUUUGGCACAUUCAUGUGGGUUAAUAAUUCAACAGUGCAUUAGUUAUGCCCACAUUAAAAUAAUUUAUUUUCUUUCAUGAAGCAGAAAAGGCAUACUCUGUCCAACUUGAUACCUUUAUAUUUAUUCUUGUCUUGAUAUUUAUAUGGUUACUGUCCAAGUGCCUUGAAAAUAUGACUGUGUGUUACUUUAAUAAAACUUACGCACUUUUAAUUCUAUUUUAUAGACUAAAAAGUGAAAAAUUACAUAGCCCCUGUCCAUGGGUUCAUACCAGAUCUACUGAUGAUUAUCUAUGGCUUUGGCCAACUUUUCUUGCUACAGAACAAACAACUUGAAACAGCUUUUGAUCACAAGACACCAGAUGCCCUUCUCAUUCAAUAUAUCAGGUGAAUACUUGGUAGCUGUUCUGAAUUCUGAUGAGCGAUGAAGAAAAUUUCAGAUCUGAAAAGUUUUCAAGACAAUGAGAUAUCUACAGGCAAGGUACAUUGUUAUUAUUCAGACUGGUUACUAAGCUUUCCUCACUCACCAAACACAUGUUGGGAAACGGAUUUAUUUAUUUAUAGGAAGAAAAAAAAAAAGAAAGAAAAUAAAAAAAAGAUUCUUUAGACAUUUCAAGUGUAAGUUUAAUUUGGUCAGCUCAAUCUAUUACAUCAAUGUGAAAAGAUUAAUUUAACUCCAGCAUAGGUAACUACAUCUGAGGUGAAUUGAAAUUGUAUUAGUCAAGGGCAAGAUACUCUCAUAAAAUCCUCAUCUACCUCAUUGCCUAAUUAGUUUUAUAAAUAUUUAU
This is a non-coding RNA of Anas platyrhynchos (mallard), 9097 nucleotides long. Lineage: Eukaryota; Metazoa; Chordata; Aves; Anseriformes; Anatidae. The record is from RefSeq and is a predicted model, not a curated record.